Molecule: unclassified non-coding RNA, 228 nt
Filed under: Hevea brasiliensis (rubber tree)
Lineage: Eukaryota; Viridiplantae; Streptophyta; Magnoliopsida; Malpighiales; Euphorbiaceae
Source: RNAcentral
CGGGGUGUGUCGAUUGCGUGACGAUGUUAUUAAGCAAAAGGGUGAUACCCAUUAUUGACAGUGGUAAGAUGGUGAUUGAAAUAAGCGACUCGGUGGUGGUGGUGGUGAUGGUGUAAUAGUAGUUAACAAUAAGCUGCAAAAUGAAUAAAAGAGAUCGAAUCGUGUAAAGAAGGGCAUUUCAACAUCUGGAUAAUCAACGGAGACUAUAGCACUCUGGAGAUAGAAUCU